Macaca mulatta (Rhesus monkey) is the source of this 1248-nucleotide non-coding RNA. The record is from RefSeq and is a predicted model, not a curated record. Lineage: Eukaryota; Metazoa; Chordata; Mammalia; Primates; Cercopithecidae.
AAGAUUGCACCACUGCACUCCAGCCUGGGUGACAGAGCGAGACCCUGCCUCAAAAAAUAAAAAUAAAAAAUGAACAGUGUCCAGCACCCUGAAAGCACUCCGCAUGACUGAACAAUCGCUGUUAUGUAAUUACCAAUAUGAGGCCCCCACUCCUCUUGGCCAAACUGAGUUCUCUCCUCUUGUAAAAACUUCUGCAUAUGAAGUCAUCCAUUCCAUUUGACCCUUUAGCCCUCAUCCUGGCAUUCAAGGGCAUGGACAACUCAACCCCACUCUCUAAGCCAGCCUGACCUCCCCAUUCCUUUCUCUGGCACAGAGGGCCUUCUCACCACCUGCCCUUACUCCCUGCCCGCUGUUGUCAGCCUGUACUGUGUUGAAGCUCCCAGGACAGACAACUGCAGUCAUCUCUUUCCGCUGUGUUCAGUGAUGUCAGUUCGGCCCAGCUGGGGGUAUUCGCAUCAUGGAAACAGAUCAUCAGAUUUGGUAACAUACCCCGAACUGUCUCACCUCUGUGCCUUUGUACAAGCUGCUCUCUCUACCUGGAAACCUCCAUUUGUCAAGCUGCUGCUGUCUUCAAGAUCUUCCUUGUCAGAAUCUCCUGCUGUCCUCUUCUGCCACCCGCAGCAAUGUGAGCCUUCACUGGCUGGCCUUUCCUACUCACUGGAGCAGAGCUACCAGCAUCAGAAUGCCCUGGACCAGGGAUUGGAAAUACAGAUUCCUGAGUCUACACUCAAAGAUUUCUUUCUUUCUUUCUUUCUUUUUUCCUUUUUUUUUAAAUUUUAGAGACGGGGUCUUGAACUCCUGGGCUCAAGCAAUCCUCCCAUCUUAGCCUCCCAAAGUGCUGGGAUUACAGGCUGAGCCACAGCACCCAGCCCCAAAGAUUUUGAUUUAGUAGGUCUGGGAUGUCACCCUAAAUGGGCCAGCUCCUUGAAUCACAGGCCAGAGAGCUGAAUAUUAUUCUCUGUUAAAACAAAAAAAAUGUGUAUGAAAUGUAUUUGAGAAAGAUGUGGAAGGACAUACUCCAAACUGUCAACAUAGGUUGCUUUUAGCAGGGAGGGAUACACAAAAAUAAAAAUGAAAACAAGGGAGGGGAAAAUAAUUAAAAGAGCCGUCUGUGAAACAUUUCAUGUACAAUGAAAUGAUACAGUGUACAUUUUUAUAUCAGAAUGACCACAGCAGACCUUAUGAAAAGAUGGCCUCCCAAGCUGUAUCUGUAAUUAUCUCUAGGUGGUAAAUUUCAGGUGACUUUUA